RNAcentral lists this ribosomal RNA (497 nucleotides) under uncultured bacterium. RNAcentral describes it as "partial 16S ribosomal RNA". It matches the Rfam family "Bacterial small subunit ribosomal RNA", at positions 28 to 507 of the family's 1533-position model. The record is from RNAcentral.
GACGAACGCUGGCGGCGUGCCUAAUACAUGCAAGUUGAGCGAUGAAGUUUGGUGCUUGCACCAAUUUGAAGAGCAGCGAACGGGUGAGUAACGCGUGGGGAAUCUGCCUUUGAGCGGGGGACAACAUUUGGAAACGAAUGCUAAUACCGCAUAAUAACUUUAAACAUAAGUUUUAAGAUUGAAAGAUGCAAUUGCAUCACUCAAAGAUGAUCCCGCGUUGUAUUAGCUAGUUGGUGAGGUAAAGGCUCACCAAGGCGAUGAUACAUAGCCGACCUGAGAGGGGGGUCGGCCACAUUGGGACUGAGACACGGCCCAAACUCCUACGGGAGGCAGCAGUAGGGAAUCUUCGGCAAUGGACGAAAGUCUGACCGAGCAACGCCGCGUGAGUGAAGAAGGUUUUCGGAUCGUAAAACUCUGUUGGUAGAGAAGAACGUUGGUGAGAGUGGAAAGCUCAUCAAGUGACGGUAACUACCCAGAAAGGGACGGCUAACUACGUG